RNAcentral lists this unclassified non-coding RNA (242 nucleotides) under uncultured fungus. RNAcentral's name for it is "sequence contains ITS1". Lineage: Eukaryota; Fungi. The record is from RNAcentral.
UUGUUUUAAUUGUAUUAACAAUGACUCAGACAAUUCAAAAAGAAAAAUAGAGUUUGUAUAAAUAAUCCUCCGGCGAAUACACACUCGCAAUUGCUUGCCAGUGGCUCAGUGACCAUUAUGAAAAUGUUCACCAAAACGAGUCGCCAAAGAUAGACUGUAAAGUUCACAUAGGGUGGGAGUUGAAUCCAGAAACUGGAUUGUAAAACUCGGUAAUGAUCCUUCCGCAGGUUCACCUACGGAAA